This 26-nucleotide non-coding RNA is filed under the name Homo sapiens (human). Lineage: Eukaryota; Metazoa; Chordata; Mammalia; Primates; Hominidae. The record is from RNAcentral.
UAGUGCUCUUUGGCAAUACAAGUCCA